AUCAAGCCGCCGGGGAGUCCUAUCAUGCAGGACUGAGAGGGGGGAGCACACGAGCCCCUGACCCGUUGAACCUGAUCCGGUUAGUACCGGCGUAGGGAGAGCGCGCAGCAGUGCAG
RNAcentral lists this non-coding RNA (116 nucleotides) under Spirochaeta africana. RNAcentral's name for it is "TPP sequence". It matches the Rfam family "TPP riboswitch aptamer (THI element)". Rfam says of the family: Vitamin B(1) in its active form thiamin pyrophosphate (TPP) is an essential coenzyme that is synthesised by coupling of pyrimidine and thiazole moieties in bacteria. The previously detected thiamin-regulatory element, thi box was extended, resulting in a new, highly conserved RNA secondary structure, the THI element, which is widely distributed in eubacteria and also occurs in some archaea. Analysis of operon structures identified a large number of new candidate thiamin-regulated genes, mostly transporters, in various prokaryotic organisms. RNAcentral also lists the same sequence under 1 other name. Lineage: Bacteria; Pseudomonadati; Spirochaetota; Spirochaetia; Spirochaetales; Spirochaetaceae. The record is from RNAcentral.